Molecule: ribosomal RNA, 392 nt
Filed under: uncultured bacterium
Lineage: Bacteria
Description: partial 16S ribosomal RNA
Rfam family: Bacterial small subunit ribosomal RNA
Source: RNAcentral
AUACGGAGGAUCCGAGCGUUAUCCGGAUUUAUUGGGUUUAAAGGGUGCGCAGGCGGCCAUUUAAGUCAGCGGUUAAAUCGUGGGGCUCAACCCCAUUCUGCCGUUGAUACUGGGUGGCUUGAUUGCGGUCGAGGUUGGCGGAAUUCGUUGUGUAGCGGUGAAAUGCAUAGAUAUGACGAAGAACACCGAUUGCGUAGGCAGCUGACCAGACCGCAAAUGACGCUCAUGCACGAAAGUGCGGGGAUCGAACAGGAUUAGAUACCCUGGUAGUCCGCACAGUAAACGAUGAAUACUUGUUUUCGGCGAUAUAAUGUCGGAGGCAAAGCGAAAGCGAUAAGUAUUCCACCUGGGGAGCACGCCGGCAACGGUGUAACUUAAAGGAAUUGACGGGG